This is a long non-coding RNA of Dromaius novaehollandiae (emu), 370 nucleotides long. RefSeq lists it as uncharacterized. The transcript has 4 exons. The record is from RefSeq and is a predicted model, not a curated record. NCBI's taxonomy places the organism in Eukaryota, Metazoa, Chordata, Aves, Casuariiformes, Dromaiidae.
CUGCUGCCAUAGCCAGUUUUAAAUGAAGAAUGUUUCUAUUCGACUAGCCACAAAGCAAGCAGAUAUGGAGGCUGAGAUGGAGAAAGAAGUGAUUUGUUUAACCCCAGCUAACAGACUAGUAGCAGAACUAGAAGCAGCUGGAACUCCCGAUUCCAGGUACUGCUGGGAGGAAAAUGAAGGAUCUACUACUUGCGCUUGAUAUAGUCUUCAGUCUGCCAUUGUACUUCAAGCUAUACAGAAAUUUCAGACUACGUGAACUUGAGAGCAAAACCUGACUGGUGCUGUGGAAUAUCUGUUAUCAGCUGAGAAAUGUCUUUGUGGGACUUUAAAGGAGGGAGAAUCACGUGGGGAAAACCCAGGCUCAGGAAGU